UUCGGUUUAUGUUAUCUUGCUUUGAAUUUAAAGGUAAAUAACCGAACAAAAAUUGUGAAAAUCGGAAGUUAAGGUUUGGAGUGAUUAAUCUAAAAUUUGAGAGUUAAAUAAUUUAUAUUAGAGUGUUAGAAAUGAUUUCUAAGCUUCCAGGGUCGAUUAGGGUUUGUAUGGGUUCGUCCAUGAUGCGUUUUUGGUUCUAGGGUUUAAUUUGCGAACAAUCAACGAAUUAAUGGCUUUAUUACAAUAACUCAAAAUUUAGGGAACUAAUAAGGUUUACAAAAGUUAGGGGUCUCACAAUUUCACAUUCGGAGGAAAUAGGUUCUGCUUUCACUACUGUUCAUCAUCACCACUCGCAAGGUUCGAUUUCUACGGAGCGUUCUCUUUUAGCAUUGAAUCUAUAAUUAGGGUUUUGCUUUGUCAAUUUUCUUCAGACCUUACAAAAAUUUGUAUCCCGAACCACUCGAUUCAACAGAUCGAAAUCACGAUCCGCUCAAAAAAUUGUUCAUUUUCUCCUGAAUCUGGUACUUUAUCUCAAAAAAUUGUUCCUUUAUAUGCAUGCAUGUUUGUCUUCGUCUUCGAUUUCAUUAUCUUCUACAUUUAUUGUCUUACUUUUUUAUCUACAUUGGAAGGCUACGAUUGAAGUCAAUUGAAUUCUGUUUCUUUGUCUUCGAUUGCAUUAUCUCCUACAUUUAUUGCCUCUGUAAUGUUCUUUAGGGCUAAGGUUGAAUUGAAUUAUCUACAUUGAAAGGCUACGAUGUCAAUUGAAUUCUGUCUGAUGUGGAUUUGAAUUUCAUUUGAAGGGAAAUCACGUUCAUGUGUGGUUGCUUUGAAUUUAACUUAUCGAUUUCAAGGAAGUAUAUUUUACUUGGAUCAGUAGAUUUGUUGAUGUAUGUUUUUGAAUUGACUGAAUUGUUCAUGUGUGCUUUAGAUCUAACAACAAUUCGUAUGUCGGACCACUCGAUUCAGCAGGUCGAAAUCACGAUCCGCUCCAAAAAUUGUUCAUUGUCCCUUGGAUUUGGUACUUUAAGUAUGUUUGUCUUUGUCUUCAAUUGCAUUAUCUCCUACAGUUAUUUUCUCUGUAAUGUUUUUUUAUUUUUUAUCUGCAUUGGAAGGCUACAAUCGAAGUCAAUUAAAUUUUGUUUGAUGUGGAUUUGAAUUUCAUUUGAAAGGAAAUCACAUUUUUGUGUGGUUGCUUUGAAUUUAACCUUUCAAUUUCGAGUGAGCAUGUUUUACUUGGAUCAGUAGAUUUGUUGAUGUAUGUUUUUGAAUUGAAUGAAUUGUUCGUGUGUGCUGUGAUUUGUAGCAUUUGUUUGAUAGAUCUUGAAAAAUUGGCUCCCCAACGCUGGCAGCGCCAUAUGGAUGGCCAAAUGCAAUAGAGCAAUGCUGCUACGACAACUGCUCUAUAUGAUCACCCUAGCGGAGGGUCCCUGCACAAUGAGGGUCCCGGGAGCAAUGUUGGAGAUGCAAUCUAGGCACGCUAGCUCCAAUUCGCAGGGUUUGCAGCAUCUGGCCUCACCCUUGGAAUCUACUGGAAUUGAUCAUCACCUCCUACCUAACUUUCUCAUGAAGCGAUGCUGGAGAUGUAGUCAUGGCACGCUGGCUCCAAUUUACCAAGUUGCAACAUCUAGCCUCACCCUUAGCAUCUACCGGAGUUAAUCAUCGCCUCCUAUCUAACCUUCUCAUGCAGGCAUUGGAAUUUGGUGAGGAGAAUAGUUGUAAAGGCUCCAUCAAUAGAGGUAAUCAAGAUUUCAUCCAUUUUUUUGCUUCUAUUUUUUAUUUUUUGUACAUUCAUGUUGUAAGUUGAUAAUUUAAUCUUUUACUCCAUUUCCAUAGUUCAAAGACCAACUUCAUGAUGUCACUUGGAAUAAUUGAAGUUUUGCAGUAAUUAAAGUUCAAAAUAAUUGGUUUUACCACUAUAUAAUUUCUAUUACUACAAUGUUCACCAAAUGCUUGAUAAAUUGUUUCUCUAUUUGAUGUGUUUGAUGUGUUUAUUAGUUCACAGGGAAUGGAAGAUGAGGGAAGAUUAAUCGAAUGAUCAAACUUUUGGUUGAGGAAAAAGUUUCCCUUUGCUAAACUUUUGAUUGGGGUGAGGAAAAGGUUUCCUUUUUCUUGACUGGAUUAAGUUUAUGAAUUUAUCUAUUUUUUGGAUAAUAUGCUAUUUGCUAAUUAUUUUUAUUAUUAUUUAUUGUUUUUGGGAAAGACUAAAAAAAUUAGCAAUUUUUUGCUUUUUUGUUUGCAUUACUUCUAAAUAGUUUGAAUGCUCUCAAUUGGAUCUUAGUUGUGAGUCUAUGAAAUAUUUCUUUUGAGAUUGUGGUUUGAGGAUUUUUGAAAUGGAUGCUCCUUGCAUUGUGGUGCCAAAGAUAUCCAUAAAGGUUAUCAAAGAAAGAGCAUUUUUCUUGGUCAGUAAAUCUCUCUUUGUUUUGGCCUCUAUAUGGAUGUGUCUUUGAAACAUUUUUUUGAUAUAUAGUAGUUUCCCGGGCAAACCCCACGUGUCUGGAUGCAUAAAAUAUUUGCUACAUAGAUUAAAAAAUAAAGAGGGUGUGUGGGUGUGGGAUGAGGGGGAGUAGAGAUAGAGGGAGGCAAAAAGUGCAGAUAAAUGAAUAAAAUGGUGUGAGACAAAUUGCUUCUUGAAAAGUUAUCUACCUAAGUGCUGAAUUCCAUGUCUCUAAAAGACUGACAUGCUUAAGUUUAGAAAUUAAAUAUAUUUGCUGAAUGUGCUUGAUGAUGGAGGGGGUCAUUUAUAAACAUUAGUGUUUGAUAAUGUGUUUAAGAGCUAAAAUCUAAUAAUGUGUUUAGAACUUUCAAUUAGUGCUGGAUGAUUUUUGCUUUUGCAACUAUUAUAGAUAGUGCUUGAUCUUUUGAGAUUGGUAUAAUCCAUAGACAUAUAUGCUUGAUUGGAGGGUUAGUUGAUUGCCCAAAGAAGGGUGGCUUUGUUAAUUAAGGUUUAGUUUCUAUUUUUUUUUUUUUUACUUUCUAUUGUUUUUUGCUCUCUGUAAUUGGUUUAUUAACUAAGCUUUACCAAAAGAGAAGUGUAAUAUGAAGAGUCUGAGAUUUAAGCUUAGGAAAGUGGAAUGAGUGUUGUAACUAAUUAAUGCUGCAAUAUCACUGAGACUUGAGUGUAAUAUGUUCAUGGGUUUGUUAAUCAUACAUUUUAUUUAACUAAUUGAUACAUUUUUCUUACUAUAUUUUGGCCUUUGAUAUACUUUAAUUUUGUACAAUAGGGGUGAGUGACAGAGCACGAUUUUUCUUUCCAUGCCUUUUCUUUUUAAACAUUAUAUGAGAGAUGGUUUGUUAAUAUUGCAAUCACUAAGAUUAUAUUCUUUUUGAAUUUCAGCCGAAAUUCAAAUGAGACCAACCUCCUCAAUUAGAGCAAGAAAGUUGAUAGCUUGGAUAAUAAUAAUAGUGAUACUAUAAGAAAAGAACAAAUUUUUUUUCGAAAUUAUUUUGUGAAUAAAUUUUUCAUAUACUACAUAAAAGAUUAGACAGGAGAAGAUUA
This is a non-coding RNA of Camellia sinensis, 3496 nucleotides long. NCBI's taxonomy places the organism in Eukaryota, Viridiplantae, Streptophyta, Magnoliopsida, Ericales, Theaceae. The record is from RefSeq and is a predicted model, not a curated record.